This 492-nucleotide ribosomal RNA is filed under the name uncultured bacterium. RNAcentral describes it as "partial 16S ribosomal RNA". It matches the Rfam family "Bacterial small subunit ribosomal RNA", at positions 29 to 507 of the family's 1533-position model. The record is from RNAcentral.
AGUGAACGCUGGCGGUAGGCCUAACACAUGCAAGUCGAACGGCAGCACAGUAAGAGCUUGCUCUUACGGGUGCCGAGUGGCGGACGGGUGAGGAAUACAUCGGAAUCUACUUUUUCUUGGGGGAUAACGCAGGGAAACUUACGCUAAUACCGCAUACGACGUACGGGUGAAAGCAGGGGAUCUUCGGACCUUGCGCGAUCGAAUGAGCCGAUGUCGGAUUAGCUAGUUGGAGGGGUAAAGGCCCACCAAGGCGACGAUCCGUAGCUGGUCUGAGAGGAUGAUCAGCCACACUGGAACUGAGACACGGUCCAGACUCCUACGGGAGGCAGCAGUGGGGAAUAUUGGACAAUGGGCGCAAGCCUGAUCCAGCCAUACCGCGUGGGUGAAGAAGGCCUUCGGGUUGUAAAGCCCUUUUGUUGGGAAAGAAAAGCAGCAGGUUAAUACCCCGCUGUUCUGACGUUACCCAAAGAAUAAGCACCGGCUAACUUCGUG